AAGAAAAAAGAAAAGAGAGGGAGAGAGAGAAACUAGAAAUGCUUAUAGUUCUCUUUUAAAAACGAGUAUUGUUCCUGUUUGACCUACUUAGGCUUAUGUACUGUCAGCAAGAGCGCAAAGGCAACAGGUAUCCACAUAUCUUCAUCUUACACCUACACAGAAAACCACAUGGUGUUAGUGUUGAAUCUAUUUGAGCUGACCAUGAAGUUCCCAUUGCACUGAAUUAUCCUUUCAUUUAUUAUCCCACAAGCUCAAUGCCAGAAGGCUUUAGUCUUGGAUUAAGAAAUCAAAAUAGCUGGUUGCAAUAAACAAAGCCUACUGAUGUAAGAGAAGAUGUUCCAAGCCCUAAUCUUCAGUCUUGGCCUCAGAUACUUCUGAUCUUACAACAGAUCUCAGGCUUCGCUGUCGCCUCUCACACAUGUUACGAGAUGGAGAUGUCAGUUCAGCUUCACUUCUCACCUGUCUUUGCUGAGGCUGAAAUUCAGCUGCAGCAGCUCAGCUGCUCCCUGCAUUUCAUGACUAUUCAUGUAUUUAAAGCAUACUUUGGAGCCUGGUAAAUUAUAUGGAGGGAGUGACCAUCCUGCUGGCUGGGAGCUCAGCUGUGCACUCCAAUAGCUUAAAAGAAGCUGUUCUUUCCUGCCAUUUGUCCAUCACUUCACUUCGGCUUUGGGCAAUUCAAAUUCCCAAUUUGAUCCAGUCCCCAGUUCAGUGAUUGAGAUAUCUGCUGCACAUCCUCAUCAGAUGCACAUCCUUUCAUCAGGUUUCUGACACAUCUUUCCACCUCAGCCACGUGAGAGUACGUGGAGGCAAAGGGUGUCAGCCCCCCCAACUCAAGGAGGCAGCAGUGCCCACCAGGCCAAGCCUGAGAAAAAGGAGAAGGAGACACCCUCACUGAGCACUCUGCUUAAAGUGGUCACACCACCUCCUUCAGCCUCCUGAGGGGAAGAGGAGCAAAAAGAGCACGGCACCAGCAAAGACCUGCUGUUUGCUUUCCUGGCUCUUGCACCUCUUUAAAGAUGCAAAUGCUGCACCCCAGGUAAGACAGUACCUGACUUUUGUGGAGUAUGCUGGAACACCUGGAACAAAGGCUGGUUCUACACCAGUGAAAUGAAACAAAAAAAUCACAAGAGUGAAGUGACUGGAAUCAUUUGGACUGGAAAGAAUGGCAUGACAAGGAAUAAUCAAGAAAUGGGCACUCAAAUUCCAUGAAAAAUAACGGGUGUGCUGCUGCCCAGGGACUCAGGGAAGAGAGGGAAUCAAGUGAACACGCAGCACAAAAAGGUGCGACUCUUCAGAGUGGUUUGGAAUUAACCUGUAAAAUCUGCUGCUGCAGGGUAUUACUGAACCAAAGCAGUUAGCUCUGUUCAAAUUUGGCACCACAGACCCACCACCGUUAGCUGAGGUGCUCCCUCACCCCAGGGCUGCCUGCAGCCUGGAGACGUAUGAAUAUUCACAGUGACAGCGGCAAGGUUAUCGCCUUACAAAAGGGACAUCCAAUGCUUUACAUCUCUUUGAUGUCUGUUAAGGCUGGGACAAUGCACACACUGCUAAGGGAGGGAAAAAAAGACCGGAGCAGAGAGGAAGAGGGAUAAGAGCAAGUGGGAAGAAAUGAGGGCAACAAACACACUCACGGAACCCAGCUUGGAGAUGAAAAACAACAGGAAGAUUAAAGAAGAAAUCGUACAGAAGGCAUGCUGCAAACAACCAGAGUUGGGAACAGGCCAGGCAAAGAGCCGGGCACUGGCUGCACUACCUUCUCUCAGGUUUUAUACAUUGUUUGGAGAGCUGUGUGUCUGUGACAGGACUGGAAGCGAUGCCCAGCUCUGGACUAUCUGCACUGAAUGCUCAGGAUGCCCAGUGCUGUGAAGAUCUGACUCCUGGCUACGAGAGAAAGUUGCUCACUUCUGUGAUGACAACUGCACCAUUUGCUAAGGUCAGUCUGAGAAGACUUAAAAUUAGAUGAAAGCAC
Molecule: long non-coding RNA, 1969 nt
Organism: Lepidothrix coronata (blue-crowned manakin)
Lineage: Eukaryota; Metazoa; Chordata; Aves; Passeriformes; Pipridae
Exons: 3
Source: RefSeq, a predicted model, not a curated record